Molecule: long non-coding RNA, 2363 nt
Organism: Paramormyrops kingsleyae
Lineage: Eukaryota; Metazoa; Chordata; Actinopteri; Osteoglossiformes; Mormyridae
Source: RefSeq, a predicted model, not a curated record
CAUUUCUGAGUCUGUAGCAGCCGGCACUGCUGCUGAGGGUGGGGGGUGGUGGAGCGGAGUCCAGGGAUUACAGCAGCUGGUGAACUCUACUCUUUCAGCAGUGACUCACACCCGCACAGGCGUGUACCCACACAGGUCCGCGCACCGAUAAAAAUAGGCCCAACCCUGCCGCCUCUCUGGCGGAGGCCCGCCCCGCUGAGUGUGGCCCAUAUGGACAGAGAAACUGGUGUGGCAUGGCCUGCGGGGGGGGACAGAUGGACCCAGGCUUUUCAGCCCAGCACAGAGCCUGCGUUCCACGCUGGAAACAGCGGAGGCGUUCGAGCCCCGCUAUGUGAGAGAAGGAGGCCAUCUUGGAUCACUGAGCAUAGCUGAUGUCACCACUUGCUAGCACCUGCUUCCCUGGAAGGCCCAAGGCUCGAAGGCCUAUAGCAACUGGCUCCUUUGACAUCAGCUCGUUGCUGAGCAACAGCACAGAGUGACAUAAGGCAGUUGUCGUGGUAACAAUUCUCCUGGAGAGAAACGUCAUGAAGGACCUGGGUGGGACAACAUUUGCUUAACCAAUGAUAGUAGAGCUAUCACAGAAGAAGUAUCCUGUUUUCCUCCUUUUCUAAGAUGGUGUCUGAUUCCCACUCAACCCAGACACACUCAAAACAAUGCUGUCCUGUAUUAAUAUUAUCUCCUUUUACUACAUGAUUCAUAUUAUUGACAGUGUGUGUCCUUGGUAUAACCUAUUCCUACAUGUAAGUUAUUAAAUUUACCAGAUUAUCAAUCUUUAUAACUCAUAGUGGGUGGCAUGGUGGUGCAGUGGUUAGCAUUGUUGCCUCACACCUCCGGAAUCAGCGUUUGAGUCUCUGUCAUGCCCAUAGGUGUGUAUGGUGUGUGUGUGUGCCCUGUAAUCGGAUGGCGCCCCAAACAGGGUUGUUCCCUGCCUUGCACCUGUAGCCUCCAGGAUAGGCUCUGGACCCCCUGUGAUCCUGAAUAGAAGAUGGAUAAAUCAUUGCUUGUCUUAAGGUUCAUAUUUAUCUUUGAAUCAUGCAGCAAAUCCUUGAGUAUUGAUAUUCACAUACACGUUUUAUAAACCUUGGCUGUUAGCAGUGGCCAAAGAGCUGAGCUAUGUUACCGACAUACGUUUUGUCAAACAUAUGAACACAAACCAUUCCCCUGCUUCGUGGAUUUCCUGCUUCCGUGGUUUUUCACUUUAUCCUGGCUGGCUAUGUCAGAUGCCACUGCACAGAUUAGCACUGCCCAUGUUGAGCCCCCUGGUGCUGCAAUCCGCAAACCCCUGGUGCUUCUUGGCUCCUUCUUCAUUGCACAUUUACGCCGGGAGCUCCUGAGGUCACCUGUUCCAGGAGGACAUCGAGUACACAAGAGCCCCAUUGCUGAGCCACAGCCUGCACCUAUUUCAGGCCUUGUAUUCCCCAACCUACCCCAAUCCUUACUCUUGCUUCCAAAAAGAUCUUUAUUUUCUGUUGCAAGAUAAAGGAAAAUACGGCUAUGAUCCUCUGACAGGAAGCGCUUAAAUAGGGCCAUCUUGCCCAUAGUGACAUUACAGCUGUUGUUUUCUGCCAUCUGAUUUCCUCCAAGGCCAGAAUGGUUAGAGGAACAUCGUUUUCAGAGUAUGGAUGGUACUCGCUUGCGAGCAAAGGGAGCGGCGGUUCCUUUGGCUCAGGAUGUGCCUACACAGGCUCUAGUGCCAUCUUUGGCAACUCGGCAGGGCUGAAUGAUCGGUAAUGUGGGUAUCGUGACAUGAUUUUAAUGGACUUCAUUAGGCCGAGUUUUAGCGCAUUCUCUUCAACGUAGCCCCCUCACCUCACAGUAUCAGCACAUGCUAAUUAAGGAAAUUUCAGUUACCUGGUAUUAGGUUGGAAUAGUAUGCAAUCUUGCAACUGUUGCGUGAACUUAUAGUAGUAGGUUAAUCAGUCUGAUUGAAUUAGGAUUUUUCUCCACAUUCUGUAUGCAGCAAUCUGGUAUGGCCAAAAAAUUACCCAAAGGCCACAUGCAAACAUGACUUGUGAAAGACAGAUCGUAUAAACACUAGACAGCCCCCUUUCGAAAAGCAUGGAUUGCAGCAGAAUGGUUCCUCUGAUGAUCCGCCCCAAACAGCCACGCCCACAAACACAAAGCCACACCCACAAACACACAAAGCCACACCCACAAAUAAGGAGCCAGCCACCCAAAAUCAGUAUCCAGGAGCAACCUUUAUUUCGGCCCUGUCCCUCCAGGAGACCUCCACUCAGUCUGGCUUUCCAUAUCAACCAACAGUUUGACAAAUACAGGCCAGAGAGAACACUGAAAGCAGCUAUUUUGCUCAGCCAAAGUUUGACUUCUUAAAAUGAACAAUAAAAUAAUUUAAAAACUCAAAA